AGCCUACGGGGGGCAGCAGUGGGGAAUAUUGGGCAAUGGGCGCAAGCCUUACCCAGCAAUACCGCGUGAGUGAAGAAGGUCUUCGGAUUGUAAAGCUCUUUGAUCAGGGACGAACAGAUGACGGUACCUGAAGAACAAGCCCCGGCUAACUACGUGCCAGCAGCCGCGGUAAAACGUAGGGGGCGAGCGUUGUCCGGAAUGACUGGGCGUAAAGGGUGCGUAGGCGGAAUGCCAAGUCAGCGGUAAAAUCGCGGGGCUCAACCUCGCUCCGCCGUUGAAACUGGCGUUCUUGAGUGGGCGAGAAG
Molecule: ribosomal RNA, 305 nt
Filed under: uncultured bacterium
Lineage: Bacteria
Description: bacterial SSU rRNA
Rfam family: Bacterial small subunit ribosomal RNA
Source: RNAcentral